GAUGAACGCUAGCGGCAGGCCUAAUACAUGCAAGUCGAGGGGUAGAGGAGAGCUUGCUUUCCUUGAGACCGGCGCACGGGUGCGUAACGCGUAUGCAACCUACCUUUAUCAGGGGGAUAGCCCGAAGAAAUUCGGAUUAACACCGCAUAAAAUCACAGUAUCGCAUGAUACAAUGAUCAAAUAUUUAUAGGAUAAAGAUGGGCAUGCGUGUCAUUAGUUAGUUGGCGGGGUAACGGCCCACCAAGACCACGAUGACUAGGGGAUCUGAGAGGAUGACCCCCCACACUGGUACUGAGACACGGACCAGACUCCUACGGGAGGCAGCAGUAAGGAAUAUUGGUCAAUGGAGGCAACUCUGAACCAGCCAUGCCGCGUGCAGGAAGACGGCCCUCUGGGUUGUAAACUGCUUUUAUUCGGGAAUAAACCUACUUACGUGUAAGUAGCUGAAUGUACCGAAGGAAUAAGGAUCGGCUAACUCCGUG
This 482-nucleotide ribosomal RNA is filed under the name uncultured bacterium. RNAcentral's name for it is "bacterial SSU rRNA". It matches the Rfam family "Bacterial small subunit ribosomal RNA", at positions 28 to 507 of the family's 1533-position model. The record is from RNAcentral.